Molecule: ribosomal RNA, 659 nt
Filed under: uncultured Actinomycetes bacterium
Lineage: Bacteria; Bacillati; Actinomycetota; Actinomycetes
Description: SSU rRNA
Rfam family: Bacterial small subunit ribosomal RNA
Source: RNAcentral
CUAGUUGGUGGGGUAAUGGCCCACCAAGGCGACGAUCAGUAGCUGGUCUGAGAGGAUGAUCAGCCACACUGGGACUGAGACACGGCCCAGACUCCUACGGGAGGCAGCAGUAGGGAAUCUUGCGCAAUGGGCGAAAGCCUGACGCAGCGACGCCGCGUGGGGGAUGAAGGCCUUCGGGUUGUAAACCCCUUUCAGCAGGGACGAAGCGAAAGUGACGGUACCUGCAGAAGAAGCGCCGGCUAACUACGUGCCAGCAGCCGCGGUAACACGUAGGGCGCAAGCGUUGUCCGGAAUUAUUGGGCGUAAAGAGCUCGUAGGCGGUCUGUUGCGUCCGCUGUGAAAACUCGGGGCUUAACCCCGAGCCUGCAGUGGAUACGGGCAGACUAGAGGUAGGUAGGGGAGAAUGGAAUUCCCGGUGUAGCGGUGAAAUGCGCAGAUAUCGGGAGGAACACCGGUGGCGAAGGCGGUUCUCUGGGCCUUACCUGACGCUGAGGAGCGAAAGCGUGGGGAGCGAACAGGAUUAGAUACCCUGGUAGUCCACGCCGUAAACGUUGGGCGCUAGGUGUGGGAUCCUUCCACGGAUUCCGUGCCGCAGCUAACGCAUUAAGCGCCCCGCCUGGGGAGUACGGCCGCAAGGCUAAAACUCAAAGGAAUUGACG